GAACUGAAGAGUUUGAUCAUGGCUCAGAUUGAACGCUGGCGGCAGGCCUAACACAUGCAAGUCGAGCGGAUGAAGGGAGCUUGCUCCUGGAUUCAGCGGCGGACGGGUGAGUAAUUCCUAGGAAUCUGCCUGGUAGUGGGGGAUAACGUCCGGAAACGGGCGCUAAUACCGCAUACGUCCUGAGGGAGAAAGUGGGGGAUCUUCGGACCUCACGCUAUCAGAUGAGCCUAGGUCGGAUUAGCUAGUUGGUGGGGUAAAGGCCUACCAAG
This 269-nucleotide ribosomal RNA is filed under the name Pseudomonas aeruginosa. RNAcentral's name for it is "partial 16S ribosomal RNA". It matches the Rfam family "Bacterial small subunit ribosomal RNA", at positions 1 to 272 of the family's 1533-position model. Lineage: Bacteria; Pseudomonadati; Pseudomonadota; Gammaproteobacteria; Pseudomonadales; Pseudomonadaceae. The record is from RNAcentral.